This is a non-coding RNA of Cinara cedri, 407 nucleotides long. The record is from the annotation of a GenBank genome assembly. NCBI's taxonomy places the organism in Eukaryota, Metazoa, Arthropoda, Insecta, Hemiptera, Aphididae.
UAUAUAUACAUGAACACAAGACAGUCACUAUUUAAAAUAUAAUAUAAUAUUAUUGAGCAUCUGCUGUAAAAAAAAGAAUGUGAAAAAAAAAACAAACAAAAAAGGUAAAGAAAAGAAGGGAAUCAUUGACACUACGUUAUAUAACUUAUAUUAUUAUUAUGACAUACAAAUACUAGGUAACAAAUAUAAGAAUUAUAGUGUAAUAAUUAAUAUUAUUACAUUAAUUUAUACUUAAUACUAUUAAUAUUAUUUUCUUAAUAAUUUAAACUUUUUUUUUUUUUUUGCAUUUUGCUCUAGACGAUUUGUCUCAUAUCAAAACAUUAGGUCAAUUAUAGUAAUAAUAAUUAUUAAGCAAAAGGUUAUAUUUUAUAGUUAUAAAUCGACAGUUACACACCAAUGUUCUGAUG